UCCAUCUUGUUCGAAAAAAGAUGGUUAUUUUGGCCAAUUUGUGUUAAUGCAAUGAAAGGUACCUAUAAUAAUUUUCCAAUCGUUGAUUCCUGCAACAAGCUUAGACUUAAAAGAGUUAAAGUAACUGGAGUAAAGUUCUGGUGGAUCAAAGAUCAAGGAAUGAUUUGGUUUUAACUGGUUUGCAUCUUAUGAACAAAGUACAUAAUAUGAUUUAAAUUAAUGAUUUAUAGUUACACCUAUUGAAAUUCUUUAUCUCAAUGAUAUCCUGGCUUAUCGAUACGAUAUCCUGU
Molecule: non-coding RNA, 290 nt
Organism: Hydra vulgaris (swiftwater hydra)
Lineage: Eukaryota; Metazoa; Cnidaria; Hydrozoa; Anthoathecata; Hydridae
Source: RefSeq, a predicted model, not a curated record